This 69-nucleotide transfer RNA is filed under the name Marmota monax (woodchuck). It matches the Rfam family "tRNA". From Rfam's summary of the family: Transfer RNA (tRNA) molecules are approximately 80 nucleotides in length. Lineage: Eukaryota; Metazoa; Chordata; Mammalia; Rodentia; Sciuridae. The record is from Rfam by way of RNAcentral.
GGAGUUGUGGCUCAGUGUUACAGCACUUGCCUAGCAUGCAUGAGGCACUGGGUUCAAUCCUCAGCACCA